GAUGAAGAACGCAGUGAAAUGCGAUAAUUAAUGUGAAUUGCAGAAUUCAGUGAAUCAUCGAGUCUUUGAACGCACAUUGCGCCCCCUGGUAUUCCGGGGGGCAUGCCUGUCCGAGCGCCAUUGCUGCCCUCAAGCACGGCUUGUGUGUUGGGCUUCCGUCCCUGGCAACGGGGACGGGCCCAAAAGGCAGUGGCGGCACCAUGUCUGGUCCUCGAGCGUAUGGGGCUUUGUCACCCGCUCCCGUAGGUCCAGCUGGCAGCUAGCCUCGCAACCAAUCUUUUUAACCAGGUUGACCUCGGAUCAGGUAGGGAUACCCGCUGAACUUAAGCAUAUCAAUAAGCGGAGGA
Molecule: unclassified non-coding RNA, 347 nt
Filed under: soil metagenome
Description: partial contains 5.8S ribosomal RNA, internal transcribed spacer 2, and large subunit ribosomal RNA
Rfam family: 5.8S ribosomal RNA (bases 1-120)
Source: RNAcentral